AGGAGCACGGACAGCGAGGGCCUGGGAAACGCGUGGAACACACGUCCCGGCUCGUUUUCCUCUCCCACUCUGAUAACCUGUGUUUCGAUACGAAACGGGCCCUGCCUCAUUAUUUGUCAUCUCCCUGGAGGUGACGGAGGGCUGUUUCAACCUCAGGGGAAAAGUUGCUGUACAGAACACAGGCCAGAGUGUGCCCCAAAGAAAUCAGGCGGUGGAGUGAUUUAAAAGUGAUCAUUUUCUGUAGUCCUAGCUACUCGGGAGGCUGAGGCAGGAAAAUCGCUUGAACCCGGGAGAAGAAGGAUGCAGUGAGCAGAGAUCGUGCCAUUGCACUUCAGCCUGGCGACAGAGCAAGACUCCGUCUCAAAAAGAAAAAAAAAAAGUGAUCAUUUUCAUGAAUGCUGCCUCUAAGGUCCCUCCUGCUGACAAUGGCCAGGGCAGUGCGGAGGCUCCUCUUUGGAAAUUGUCUUCAGAGCUGAUGCAGACUCUUUUGAAAGCAGCCACAGACAUUGGGGAUGGAGUCUGGUGGUUAAGGACUUGGACUAGGAAGAUCAACUGGGCACGGUGAUUCUUGCACAGAUUUUUAUAAGGAUCCUCCAAGUGUAACAACCAUUUGGAAAACUCCGGGCCUUGAGGACAGCCAGAGAAGAUAAGUUCAACUUGCACUUUGCCAGAGCAGGGGAUCUCCCUCAGCUCCCUGCCUUCAAACCUACCUUACAGACCUGCCUGGCCUGCACCUGAGCCACCCUCUUCUUCCUUCCUAUUCCCACUAAGGAGGUGUCCCUGCUUCCUUCAUAGUGGGUCCUUCCCCUGCACCGGGAAACAGGCCCUAGAGAUGACUCCAUGGGGUGAAGGACCAGAGCCUCCUUGCCUCUCUCUCUGUCUCUCUCUCCCUCUCUUGUCUUCCCAUGAAGCUCUGAUGUUUCCAGUACAAAAUAAACCUCGCUCAGUCCCAGUCCUUCUCCAGUUCCUCCCCUCACAAGCAUGGCCCCCCACUGCUGGCUUUCCUUCCCCACCUUCCACCCUCUCCUUGGCCUUCUCCACUCUGGCUUCAGUGGCCUCCGAUGGCUACACUCAGAGCCUGGGUGCACUGUCCUUUGGAAGCUUCCCUCUGGGGCCGCCUGUCAGCCUCCUCUGAAGA
This 1138-nucleotide long non-coding RNA is filed under the name Homo sapiens (human). Its description in RNAcentral is "HSALNT0303505". Lineage: Eukaryota; Metazoa; Chordata; Mammalia; Primates; Hominidae. The record is from RNAcentral.